Pogoniulus pusillus (Red-fronted tinkerbird) is the source of this 163-nucleotide small nuclear RNA. RefSeq annotates it as U1 spliceosomal RNA. The record is from RefSeq and is a predicted model, not a curated record. NCBI's taxonomy places the organism in Eukaryota, Metazoa, Chordata, Aves, Piciformes, Lybiidae. The transcript has a single exon.
UUAGGAACAAGUGUCUGGAGACACCAUGAUCAGGCAGGUGGUUUUCCCAGGGUGAGGCUCAUCCUUUGCACUCUGGCUGUGCUGACCCCUGCAGUUUCCCCAAAUGUGGGAAACUCAACUGCGUUUUUUUGUUUGUGGGUUUUGGUUUUUUUUCCUGCCCGGG